This 1582-nucleotide long non-coding RNA is filed under the name Ricinus communis (castor bean). RNAcentral describes it as "long non-coding RNA (RCOM_LNC001588)". The record is from RNAcentral. Lineage: Eukaryota; Viridiplantae; Streptophyta; Magnoliopsida; Malpighiales; Euphorbiaceae.
UCAUUGUUUACUCAACCAAAUAAUAUAUAAAAUAUAAUCAUAAAGCUCGAAGAAUUUUCGGAGAGAGCAAAACUCUACAAAAACUAGGGUUGUUAGUUAGCACCUUGACAAUUUCAAUAGAAGAUUGUUAAAAUAAUUAUCCAAAUAAAAUAGAGAAAGACCAAAUCCUAGAAGUCAUCAAGCAAUAUCCAAAGGAGUUGUGGCCACUAUAGCUUCAUUAAUCAAAGGCUUUAAAUUUGACACAACAUGAAUAUCUGAUUUCGUUGCACCGGGCUUUAGAGGGUUCUUUAUAGCAAGUUUCGAAGCCUUAGUCUUAGCUUUGAACUUGCUUUUCAAAUUCAUACGAGUCUUUAAAUUAGGAGGCUUCCCCGAAUGCUGGUUCUCUCAAGUAUAGAGACUGGUUUUGGGAGGAAACUACUUUCAAACUCCUUUCUUCAGCCACUCGCACCACCAUCUUUAUGCAAAUCACUAUGUGCUUGUUACUAUGUAGAGAUGUCUCUAGGAGUAAAGCUACUUGAGGGAAGAGAUAAGGACUUUGAAUGAUUUUACAUGGCACUGAUAGCUUAUGGACCAUCAUGAGAAACCCCUGCAACAUAUUUGUGACCACUUGAACCCAACCUAAAAGUCAUUCUAUUUUUAUGUUUAUCCUUCACAGGGUUGGCACCAUUCUUAUAUCUCCUUGGCCAUUCAUUUGUUCACCUCAUAACUGGCUAUGGCAGUCGCCAUAAGUUCUAUUAGCAAGCUCUCCUCUUUUGCACUCUUAGGAGGAGGCCAGGAUAUCUAACCUUAACCAUUAUUACUUUCAUUAGUACUGAACGAUAGCUCCAUGGUUGAACUGUUAGGCAAUGCCCUAUGUCACGUGAGUUUUGUUUUAUCUCCAAAACUUUGCCCACGUGCAGCCUAGCUUGCUUGAUUUCCCCGAAAGUCAAGAUAGUGCAUGGAUCUUUGUGGUGGUGGAUCGGUUCUCUAAAUACGGCAUCUUCAUUCCAGCUCCGAAGGCCAUCACCGCCGAAGAAGCUGCCCGCCUGUUUAUGAAACAUGUGGUAGGCAGUGUUGUUCAACACGGGCCGUGUUGUGCAGCCUUCCCUUGCUAGCUGCGAGGCGGGGCGUGACACCUAGCACAGACCAUGGACCCUUGAGAAGAGCAUUCGAAAAAUCACUUCCUACUCAAAUUUGAUCAUGUAACACUUACCUUAUAUUCCCUUUUAAGUUUCUGCAACCCUUCAAUCUUAGUGCAUAAGGUACGACAGCCAAUCAACCGGACAACCGUUUUCUUCGUUGAUUAUACUAUAAGGUCCUAGAUACUAUUAGAAAACUCAAUAAUGGAGAUACCAUUCUCACAUCUAGUACGAAAAUCACCAUCAUGACCGUCUAUUUCAACUUCCAACACAAUAAUAUUCUAAUUUCUAGCCAUUGUUUCACCCACUCGUUUGUCCUUAAGAGAGACUCCCUCCCUCAGUAACAAACUGGUCAAACUCACUAUCUUGAUUCCGAACCUUAACUUUCUUUGUUGUUCGAUCCUUUCCCAACAAGGGCAGAAAAAGUUCCGUAAAGGGAGCGUUUAAAAACGCAGAGUUAACAU